This 626-nucleotide ribosomal RNA is filed under the name uncultured bacterium. Its description in RNAcentral is "bacterial SSU rRNA". It matches the Rfam family "Bacterial small subunit ribosomal RNA", at positions 56 to 699 of the family's 1533-position model. The record is from RNAcentral.
UGCAGUCGAGCGGUAACAUUUCCAGCUUGCUGGAAGAUGACGAGCGGCGGACGGGUGAGUAACGCGUAGGAAUCUACCGAGUAGUGGGGGAUAGCCCAGAGAAAUUUGGAUUAAUACCGCAUACGCCCUACGGGGGAAAGGAGGGGAUCUUCGGACCUUUCGCUAUUUGAUGAGCCUGCGUGAGAUUAGCUAGUUGGUGAGGUAAAGGCUCACCAAGGCGACGAUCUCUAGCUGGUCUGAGAGGAUGAUCAGCCACACUGGGACUGGGACACGGCCCAGACUCCUACGGGAGGCAGCAGUGGGGAAUCUUGGACAAUGGGGGCAACCCUGAUCCAGCCAUGCCGCGUGAGUGAUGAAGGCCCUAGGGUCGUAAAGCUCUUUCGCCUGUGAAGAUAAUGACUGUAGCAGGUAAAGAAACCCCGGCUAACUCCGUGCCAGCAGCCGCGGUAAUACGGAGGGGGUUAGCGUUGUUCGGAAUUACUGGGCGUAAAGCGCGCGUAGGCGGACUGGAAAGUUGGGGGUGAAAUCCCAGGGCUCAACCCUGGAACUGCCUCCAAAACUAUCAGUCUAGAGUUCGAGAGAGGUGAGUGGAAUUCCGAGUGUAGAGGUGAAAUUCGUAGAUAUUC